Molecule: long non-coding RNA, 252 nt
Filed under: Elaeis guineensis (African oil palm)
Lineage: Eukaryota; Viridiplantae; Streptophyta; Magnoliopsida; Arecales; Arecaceae
Description: long non-coding RNA (EGUI_LNC067677)
Source: RNAcentral
CAUGGAUGAGGAGGGGAUCUGUGUGGUAAGGAAGGAGGCGGCUAUGAUCUAUGAGGUGGCGGUGUGCUCAGAGGGGCGGGUGCUAUGGGUGAGGAAGGGGAUCUGUGGGUGAGGGGCGGCGGCUAUGUGCGUGAAGGGGCGGAUGGCGAUUUAGGAGGGAGACGACAGUGGUGGUGGUGCUCUACGAUGGUAAUGAUGAUUGGUGUAGUGAUGGGAUGGAGAUGGCUGUCUUUCGGUGAACAUCAAUGGUGA